UUGAUGAGGAGCUUGCUCCUCUGAUGGUUAGCGGCGGACGGGUGAGUAACACGUAGGCAACCUGCCCGUAAGACCGGGAUAACUACCGGAAACGGUAGCUAAUACCGGAUAAUUUAUCGCUUCGCAUGGAGCGGUAAUGAAAGACGGAGCAAUCUGUCACUUACGGAUGGGCCUGCGGCGCAUUAGCUAGUUGGUGAGGUAACGGCUCACCAAGGCGACGAUGCGUAGCCGACCUGAGAGGGUGAACGGCCACACUGGGACUGAGACACGGCCCAGACUCCUACGGGAGGCAGCAGUAGGGAAUCUUCCGCAAUGGGCGAAAGCCUGACGGAGCAACGCCGCGUGAGUGAUGAAGGUUUUCGGAUCGUAAAGCUCUGUUGCCAGGGAAGAACGUCGGGUAGAGUAACUGCUAUCCGAGUGACGGUACCUGAGAAGAAAGCCCCGGCUAACUACGUGCCAGCAGCCGCGGUAAUACGUAGGGGGCAAGCGUUGUCCGGAAUUAUUGGGCGUAAAGCGCGCGCAGGCGGUCACUUAAGUCUGGUGUUUAAGGCUAGGGCUCAACUCUAGUUCGCACUGGAAACUGGGUGACUUGAGUGCAGAAGAGGAAAGUGGAAUUCCACGUGUAGCGGUGAAAUGCGUAGAGAUGUGGAGGAACACCAGUGGCGAAGGCGACUUUCUGGGCUGUAACUGACGCUGAGGCGCGAAAGCGUG
Molecule: ribosomal RNA, 711 nt
Filed under: Paenibacillus cookii
Lineage: Bacteria; Bacillati; Bacillota; Bacilli; Caryophanales; Paenibacillaceae
Description: bacterial SSU rRNA
Rfam family: Bacterial small subunit ribosomal RNA
Source: RNAcentral